AUUGAACGCUGGCGGCAGGCCUAACACAUGCAAGUCGAACGGUAACAGGAAGAAGCUUGCUUCUUUGCUGACGAGUGGCGGACGGGUGAGUAAUGUCUGGGAAACUGCCUGAUGGAGGGGGAUAACUACUGGAAACGGUAGCUAAUACCGCAUAACGUCGCAAGACCAAAGAGGGGGACCUUCGGGCCUCUUGCCAUCGGAUGUGCCCAGAUGGGAUUAGCUAGUAGGUGGGGUAACGGCUCACCUAGGCGACGAUCCCUAGCUGGUCUGAGAGGAUGACCAGCCACACUGGAACUGAGACACGGUCCAGACUCCUACGGGAGGCAGCAGUGGGGAAUAUUGCACAAUGGGCGCAAGCCUGAUGCAGCCAUGCCGCGUGUAUGAAGAAGGCCUUCGGGUUGUAAAGUAGUUUCAGCGGGGAGGAAGGGAGUAAAGUUAAUACCUGGGCUCAUUGACGUUACCCGCAGAAGAAGCACCGGCUAACUCCGUG
This 490-nucleotide ribosomal RNA is filed under the name uncultured bacterium. RNAcentral describes it as "partial 16S ribosomal RNA". It matches the Rfam family "Bacterial small subunit ribosomal RNA", at positions 30 to 507 of the family's 1533-position model. The record is from RNAcentral.